Molecule: ribosomal RNA, 481 nt
Filed under: uncultured bacterium
Lineage: Bacteria
Description: bacterial SSU rRNA
Rfam family: Bacterial small subunit ribosomal RNA
Source: RNAcentral
GACGAACGCUGGCGGCGUGCUUAACACAUGCAAGUCGAACGAUGAAGCCCUUCGGGGUGGAUUAGUGGCGAACGGGUGAGUAACACGUGGGCAAUCUGCCCUGCACUCUGGGACAAGCCCUGGAAACGGGGUCUAAUACCGGAUAUGACCUGCCGAGGCAUCUUGGUGGGUGGAAAGCUCCGGCGGUGCAGGAUGGGCCCGCGGCCUAUCAGCUUGUUGGUGGGGUGAUGGCCUACCAAGGCGACGACGGGUAGCCGGCCUGAGAGGGCGACCGGCCACACUGGGACUGAGACACGGCCCAGACUCCUACGGGAGGCAGCAGUGGGGAAUAUUGCACAAUGGGCGCAAGCCUGAUGCAGCGACGCCGCGUGAGGGAUGACGGCCUUCGGGUUGUAAACCUCUUUCAGCAGGGAAGAAGCGCAAGUGACGGUACCUGCAGAAGAAGCCCCGGCUAACUACGUGCCAGCAGCCGCGGUAAAAC